UCCCAGAGAGUCUGAGGGGAGAAUGUCUGGUUGGCUCUCUGACUCGUGGGCUGUCAGUGUAGUGUCAGAGACCACAGGCCGAGGGGACUGACCAUUGUGGGGCUGCCCACUUCCCAGACAGUCUGCCCGCGCAUUCCACUACCAGGUCAGAACUCCAAAAUUACUCAAUCAGGAGGCUCAAACCACCACCCUAAUAGGCUCAUCCGGUGGGACCCUGUGACAGUAUGGAUUGGAAGGCAGGGAGGAAGACAGACUGGAGCAAACACUCUGUGCACAUCCUCUAACCAGAAGUUGUGCCAGGCGCAAGGGCAGAGAGACAAGCCAGGUUCAGCCCCUGCCCCCAGGGCCUCACAGUAGAGCGAAGGAGGCAGCCAGCCCCUGCAGCAGUUAGGACCACAAGCAGGGUGCUUUGGUUGUCAGCCAGGGAAACCUUUGGCUAAGUUCAGGAGAACAGGAUCUUACUGGAAGGACUUUGGGUAGCUCAGUGCUCCCUGGGAAGGCCAGCGCACCUGGCUGGAAAUGGACAGUCCACGGCAUCAGGAGCUGCUGACCGUCCCACUGAGGCUGCCCCAGAACGUGUGUACUCAAGAUUCCAGCGCUCCAGCCUGGUGUGGGACUGGCCCUGUGUGGGCACCAUGCGCUCACCCCCUAGACAGAGGACCACAGGGCACUCUAACAACACAAGAAGAUGGCCCACAGCUGGGGGAGGGUCACCUCCCCCACCUUCAGUGGGUGUCACUUAAGGGGAAAUGGUCCACACAGGGCCUGCUGGAGUUCUUAGAAUCGUUCAGCUGCUGGGGUAUUUGGGAUAUGUGGCUAAGUCACGCCCUGGGGCUGUCAGUCCUGGGUCCCUGGCUCCCAAGCACCCUGGCAUUCAUUCUUCUGCCCUCAUCUGGCACCCAGUUAAUGUCUCUGCUCAACCUGGAAACAUUUUCUUAACGACAAAAAAAAUAAAAUCAUAAGUUAAAAAUCUCGAGCAGUAAAACAGCAGAUGACGUUGUGUGGGCAGCUGCCCAGAGGACACAGAACGCACGUCUCCUGAGCGGGUGGCCUUAUAAGGACAGGUUCAGGAGGAGAAUGGGCAGGAGGGAGGGCCACCCACAAGGAGAGUAGGAGCCUGGGGUAGGGGUGGGUGCCCCACCACUGGGCUGAGUGUGGAGCCAGCAGGGUGCCUGGCCAGGACCUGACUCCACAGAGGGACUUGGCUGCACACAAGCGCCAGAGGCCCUUGUGGGCCAAAGCCUGCCCGUCCCUCCGCCUUCACUGUGUCACUGCCAGCACAGGUACUGACCUGCUCUCAGCCAGCUGCCACGCAAACCCACCUGGCAGCCUCGCCUGGGGAACCCCCUCCCUCCAGGGCAGGGCCAUUUCCCAUCCUUCAUCCCACCUUCCCCCAUUCCUGGGCCCAGCAGGCCUAGCACCAGCUGUCAUGAUGUGCAGUAAAGGUUUGUGGGGUGACAGAAUUAGGAAAUGAAGGGUUCUCUGGUGGGAGUUUUGGCUUAUCACCUGGGCUAUAGCACCUGGAACUCAGGGCAGCGUCUUCUCUCCUCAGAGGGCCCAACGUGGGGCUGAGGAGGUGGGUAGGGCUGGGCAGUCAGUUUUUGCCCUGCCCAGGAUCACCUUUGUCCCCAGUGUGAAGACACGCAUACCAUCAACUUUCUCCUGAUAGGGUGGAAGAUUUUCACUCCCCCGAGAUCAAAGAGUGUGUGUGUGUGACAGAAUGUGUGUGUUUCUGGGAGAGUCCUGAUUGUCUGCACUUUUCUGACCCCAGCAUCACUAGGAUUAAAGACCUGGCCCUUGGGAUCUGAGGGUGAGCAGAGGAGUGCCCCAGGAGGUCCCAUACUGAGGGAAGGACUCUGGAAGCCUCCCCAAACCCUCAUUUGGAAAGAUCCUUCCCUGAGCUUCCUAAAGCCCCACGUUCCUCUCCGGGCGAAUCUUGCAUAGACACAGAAUGGAUGGUCAUUUGAGGAGAGAUGAGAAGGUCACGCCUUCCAUUUGACAGCUUGCACUGUACC
Long non-coding RNA from Symphalangus syndactylus (siamang), 2015 nucleotides. RefSeq lists it as uncharacterized. NCBI's taxonomy places the organism in Eukaryota, Metazoa, Chordata, Mammalia, Primates, Hylobatidae. The record is from RefSeq and is a predicted model, not a curated record.